UUGCCAGCCCGCCUACAGAAACUCAAAGGAAUUGACGGGGGCCCGCACAAGCGGAGGAGCAUGUGGUUUAAUUCGAUGAUACGCGAGGAACCUUACCUGGGCUCGAACGUAAGAUGACUGUAGGUGAAAGCUUACAUCUCUUCGGAGCAUUUUACGAGGUGCUGCAUGGUUGUCGUCAGCUCGUGCCGUGAGGUGUCGGGUUAAGUCCCAUAACGAGCGCAACCCCUACCUUUAGUUGCCAUCAGGUUAAGCUGGGGACUCUAAAGGAACUGCCUACGCAAGUAGUGAGGAAGGCGGGGAUGACGUCAAAUCAGCACGGCCCUUACGUCCAGGGCUACACACGUGCUACAAUGGCCGAUACAGAGGGCAACUACCUGGUGACAGGAUGCAAAUCUCCAAAGUCGGUCUCAGUUCGGAUCGGAGUCUGCAACCCGACUCCGUGAAGUUGGAUUCGCUAGUAAUCGCGCAUCAGCCAUGGCGCGGUGAAUACGUUCCCGGGCCUU
This 503-nucleotide ribosomal RNA is filed under the name uncultured Sphingobacteriales bacterium. RNAcentral describes it as "bacterial SSU rRNA". It matches the Rfam family "Bacterial small subunit ribosomal RNA", at positions 903 to 1382 of the family's 1533-position model. The record is from RNAcentral. Lineage: Bacteria; Pseudomonadati; Bacteroidota; Sphingobacteriia; Sphingobacteriales.